RNAcentral lists this long non-coding RNA (509 nucleotides) under Homo sapiens (human). Its description in RNAcentral is "HSALNT0321303". Lineage: Eukaryota; Metazoa; Chordata; Mammalia; Primates; Hominidae. The record is from RNAcentral.
CAGGCAGAGGAGGCGCUGAGAGCGAGCAAGGGCUCUGAGGACUGUCAGCACGCUGUCACCUCUCACUAUUGUGAGACUUCACGUUGUGAUGGUCAAUCUAUCUAACAGCCUGUGGAUGAGGUCAAAGGAAAGAGGGAAGAAAGGAGAAAGGGGAGAAGGAAAGAACUUGAGGCUUUGAUGACCGUUGGAAUGCAGAGAAGCUAUGAGAAAAGAGCUACAAGAGAAAAAUGGCAGCAUUGCAAAGUGCAAGAACACUGAAGGGAUUAAACAGCAUUCUAGAAAACAAGACAGACCAUGAAGAGUAUGGGAAGAAACAGGAAGGCCUAUUUCCCGGUACCAUACCCAGAAGCUGUAUAAUAGGGACAACUUGCAGGCUGAGGUGCUCUCUGUGUCCUGACAUGUCAGAUUUGGGAAAUGAGUGAAGCAGAUUUACAGAUUUGCUUACUUUGGUUAAAGAACUUUACAUGUACUUCUAUCAAAACCUGAAUAUUGGCUGGGCAUGGUGGCAC